This 290-nucleotide unclassified non-coding RNA is filed under the name fungal sp. RNAcentral's name for it is "partial internal transcribed spacer region". The stretch from base 1 to 46 matches the Rfam family "Eukaryotic small subunit ribosomal RNA", at positions 1786 to 1831 of the family's 1831-position model. Lineage: Eukaryota; Fungi. The record is from RNAcentral.
AAGUCGUAACAAGGUUUCCGUAGGUGAACCUGCGGAAGGAUCAUUAACACAAUUUUACUGUGAUAAAAAUCCAUUUUGAAUUUUCGAAUUCAAAAUGGUAUCCACCCCAUUAUUGACGAACUUUUUGCUUUAGAUGUUUUCUUUGAAAAAGAAAACAUUCUAAAACACCUUUUUUUAUACCCAUAACAUUUUUAACCCCUUUUACAACAUGCCUUAGACUGAAAUGACAAUUUCUUUAUUAUCAAAACAAUGAUAAAAAACAACUUUUAACAACGGAUAUCUUGGUUCUC